This 402-nucleotide ribosomal RNA is filed under the name bacterium. RNAcentral describes it as "partial 16S ribosomal RNA". It matches the Rfam family "Bacterial small subunit ribosomal RNA", at positions 355 to 776 of the family's 1533-position model. The record is from RNAcentral.
UGGGGAAUUUUGCACAAUGGGGGAAACCCUGAUGCAGCGUCGCCGCGUGAUUUAGAAGGCCUUCGGGUUGUAAAAAUCUUUUCUAUGGGAAGAAAAUGACAGUACCAUAGGAAUAAGGACCGGCUAAUUACGUGCCAGCAGCCGCGGUAAUACGUAAGGUCCGAGCGUUGUCCGGAAUCAUUGGGCGUAAAGGGUACGUAGGCGGGUAAGCAAGUUAGAAGUGAAAUCCUAUAGCUCAACUAUAGUAAGCUUUUAAAACUGCUCAUCUUGAGGUAUGGAAGGGAAAGUGGAAUUCCUAGUGUAGCGGUGAAAUGCGCAGAUAUUAGGAGGAAUACCGGUGGCGAAGGCGACUUUCUGGCCAUAACCUGACGCUGAGGUACGAAAGCGUGGGUAGCAAACAGG